RNAcentral lists this ribosomal RNA (270 nucleotides) under uncultured bacterium. Its description in RNAcentral is "partial 16S ribosomal RNA". It matches the Rfam family "Bacterial small subunit ribosomal RNA", at positions 335 to 600 of the family's 1533-position model. The record is from RNAcentral.
ACUCCUACGGGAGGCAGCAGUGGGAAUAUUGCACAAUGGGCGCAAGCCUGAUGCAGCCAUGCCGCGUGUGAGAAGGCCAUCGGGCUUGUAAGACACUUUCAGUUGUGAGGAAAGGUUAGUCGCUAAUAUCGGCUAGCUGUGACGUUAGCAACAGAAGAAGCACCGGCUAACUCCGUGCCAGCAGCCGCGGUAAUACGGAGGGUGCGAGCGUUAAUCGGAAUUACUGGGCGUAAAGCGCGUGUAGGUGGCUUGUUAAGCCAGAUGUGAAAG